RNAcentral lists this ribosomal RNA (468 nucleotides) under uncultured bacterium. RNAcentral describes it as "partial 16S ribosomal RNA". It matches the Rfam family "Bacterial small subunit ribosomal RNA", at positions 28 to 507 of the family's 1533-position model. The record is from RNAcentral.
GACGAACGCUGGCGGCGUGCUUAACACAUGCAAGUCGAACGGAAAGGCCCUGCUUUUGUGGGGUGCUCGAGUGGCGAACGGGUGAGUAACACGUGAGUAACCUGCCCUUGACUUUGGGAUAACUUCAGGAAACUGGGGCUAAUACCGGAUAGGAGCUCCUGCUGCAUGGUGGGGGUUGGAAAGUUUCGGCGGUUGGGGAUGGACUCGCGGCUUAUCAGCUUGUUGGUGGGGUAGUGGCUUACCAAGGCUUUGACGGGUAGCCGGCCUGAGAGGGUGACCGGCCACAUUGGGACUGGGAUACGGCCCAGACUCCUACGGGAGGCAGCAGUGGGGAAUAUUGCACAAUGGGAGGAAGCCUGAUGCAGCAACGCCGCGUGCGGGAUGACGGCCUUCGGGUUGUAAACCGCUUUCGCCUGUGACGAAGCGUGAGUGACGGUAAUGGGUAAAGAAGCACCGGCUAACUACGUG